GACGAACGCUGGCGGCGUGCUUAACACAUGCAAGUCGAACGGAAAGGCCCUGCUUUUGUUGGGUGCUCGAGUGGCGAACGGGUGAGUAACACGUGAGUAGCCUGCCCUUGACUUUGGGAUAACUUCAGGAAACUGGGGCUAAUACCGGAUAGGAACUCCUGCUGCAUGGUGGGGGUUGGAAAGUUUCGGCGGUUGGGGAUGGACUCGCGGCUUAUCAGCUUGUUGGUGGGGUAGUGGCUUACCAAGGCUUUGACGGGUAGCCGGCCUGAGAGGGUGACCGGCCACAUUGGGACUGAGAUCCGGCCCAGACUCCUACGGGAGGCAGCAGUGGGGAAUAUUGCACAAUGGGCGGAAGCCUGAUGAAGAAACGCCGCGUGCGGGAUGACGGCCUUCGGGUUGUAACCCGCUUUCGCCUGUGACGAAGCGUGAGUGACGGUAAUGGGUAAAGAAGCACCGGCUAACUACGUG
Molecule: ribosomal RNA, 468 nt
Filed under: uncultured bacterium
Lineage: Bacteria
Description: partial 16S ribosomal RNA
Rfam family: Bacterial small subunit ribosomal RNA
Source: RNAcentral